CAGCCUGGCACCGAUACAGCACCAUCGUAUUGCUCAGAAGAAACUCUUUCAAGUUCAGAAUGUGACAUAGUGGCAGCUUGUUCACCAGAUGUGGAAACCUCCCAAGGAUCUUACUGCCAGGUAUUUCCGGCUUUGACUGUGCCUGAUGAGUCCCAGCAAAAGGUUUGUGCAUUCUGUGGAUGAGUUCAGUCAGCUGAGGGCACAGCUAAUGUCACUGGCAACAGUACAAGGAGCGGGGAUGCUGAUCCUUCAGAAGUAGCUGCCCUUCAAAAAAGAAUAGCUACACUGGAGGACUGCUUGAAAAACAUGAAGCGAAAAGUUAAGACACUGCAACAGCAGAAAAGCAGAGCAAACAGUCGAAACAAUGAACUGUCGCAAAACAUCAGAAAGUACUUGUCACCAGAUCAACUGCUAGGCAUGGAGACUUCCAGUACGAGGGGGACACCAUGGUCUACCGAGACUAUACAAAAAGGCCUCAAGCUCCGUUUGGCAUGCGGAUCGAGAGGCUACAACACCAUCAGGGAGCUUGCUGUACCUAUUCCAAGUGAACGAACAUUACAACGUCGUGUUCAGAACUACAAGUUUUCACCAAGAAUUCUCCACGAGGUUCUGCAGUCCCUUGCU
Dermacentor silvarum is the source of this 624-nucleotide long non-coding RNA. RefSeq lists it as uncharacterized. The record is from RefSeq and is a predicted model, not a curated record. The transcript has 5 exons. Lineage: Eukaryota; Metazoa; Arthropoda; Arachnida; Ixodida; Ixodidae.